RNAcentral lists this ribosomal RNA (2763 nucleotides) under Triticum aestivum (bread wheat). Its description in RNAcentral is "partial small subunit ribosomal RNA". The record is from RNAcentral. Lineage: Eukaryota; Viridiplantae; Streptophyta; Magnoliopsida; Poales; Poaceae.
AUGGAGAUCGCCAUGGGGGCCAUUGGCCCUCUCCUCCCGAAGCUCGGUGAGCUGCUCAUCGGCGAGCUCACCUUGGAGAAACAAGUGAGGAAAGGCAUCAAGUCUCUCGUGACAGAGCUGACAUUGAUGCAUGCCGCUCUCCGCAAGGUAGCAAAAGUGCCGGUGGAUCAGCUUGAAGAGGGGGUCAAGAUCUGGGCUGGAAAUAUCAAGGAUUUAUCCUACCAAAUGGAGGAAAUCAUUGAUGUUUUCAAGGUCCACGUGGAGAAUGGGGGCAAGCCAACCAACUCGAAGAACAGAGUUAAGAAGAUACUCAAGAAGGUCAAAAGGUUAUUCAAGAAUGGCAAGGAUCUCCAUCGGAUCUCUAAUGCUCUAGAAGAAGCGGUCCAACAAGCUAAGAAGUUGGCGGAGCUGCGUCAAAGGUAUGAGCAAGAGAUGCGGGAUACUAGUGUUGGUGCUAGUGUUGACCCCCGCAUGAUGGCCCUAUACACAGAUGUGACAGAGCUCGUCGGCAUUGAAGAAACACGAGAUGAGUUGAUCAACAUGUUGAUUGAAGGUGAUGAUUGGUUGAAGCAUCCAUUGAAGACGGUCUCUAUUGUCGGAUUUGGUGGUUUGGGCAAGACAACUCUUGCCAAAUCAGCAUAUGACCAGAUCAAAGGGCGAUUUGAUUGUUAUGCUUUUAUUUCGGUUUCUCAGAAUCCCGACAAGAAGAAAGUUUUCCAGAAUAUUCUCUAUGGACUUGACAAGAAGAAGUAUGGACACAUUCAUAGCAAAGAAUGGGAACAAAAUCAUCUGAUCGAUGAAAUCAUCGAAUUCCUUAACGGCAAGAGGUACCUCAUCGUAAUUGAUGACAUAUGGGAUAAAGAAGUCUGGAAAUUAAUCAAGUGUGCUUUCUCCAAGAAGAGUCCUGGAAGCCGACUAAUCACAACAACUCGUGUUGUUAGUGUCUCUGAAGCAUGUUGUUCUUCUAUGGAUGAUAUUUACAAAAUGAAACCACUUUCUGACGAUGUAUCAAGAACACUCUUCUAUAAAAGAGUAUUUUCUCAAGAGAAUGGGUGUCCUCAAGAAUUAGUGCAAGUAUCCAAAGACAUUUUGAAGAAAUGUGGUGGCAUACCAUUAGCUAUUAUUUCUAUAGCAAGUCUCCUGGCUAAUAAUAAUCAGAUAAAAACAAAGGACCAAUGGUAUACUUUGCUCAAUUCCAUUGGCCGUGGACUCACGGAAGAUCAAAGUUUGGAGGAGAUGAAAAAGAUAUUAUUAUUCAGCUAUUAUGAUCUACCCUCAUAUCUGAAACCUUGUUUAUUAUAUCUUAGCAUCUUCCCAGAAGAUCACGAGAUUAUGAGAGAUAGGCUGAUAUGGAGAUGGAUAUCCGAAGGUCUUGUUUACAGUGAUAGACAAGAAACUAGCUUAUAUGAGCUCGGUAAUAGCUACUUCAAUGAGCUAGUGAAUAGAAGUAUGAUCCAGCCGAUAGGCAUUGAUGUUGUAGGAAAUGUACAAGGUUGCCGUGUACAUGACAUGGUUCUUGACCUUAUAUGCUCAUUAUCAAGUGAAGAAAACUUUGUCACAAUACUAGAUAACAACAGAAGAAAAAUUCCUAACUCAGAGAUCAAGGUUCGCAGAUUGUCCAUUCAAAAUAGCAAGAUAGAUGUGGAUACCACUAGGAUGGAGCAUAUGAGAUCUCUUACUGUUUUCACAAGUGAUGUUGUUGGGAAAGUGUUGGAUAUUUCAAGUUUUCAAGUUCUGCGCGUGUUGGAUUUAGAAGGCUGUAAAAAUGUCUCGGAUGUUGGGUAUGUGGGGAAUCUGUUGCAUUUGAGGUACUUGGGGCUAAAAGGUACUCAUGUUAAGGACCUUCCCAAGGAAAUAGGGAAGCUGCAGUUUUUGCUUAUCUUGGACUUAAGAGGUUCUAAGAUAGAAGUACUGCCAUCGAGUGUUGUUCAACUAAGACGUCUAAUGUGCUUGUAUGUUGCUUAUGAUAUGAAGCUGCCAUCUGGAAUAGGUAACCUGACUUCCCUAGAAGUGCUAGAUGAGCUGGGGUUAUCUGACGUGGACCUUGAUUUUGUGAAAGAAUUGGGCCGUCUGACCAAGCUCAGGGUGCUCCGGCUUGACUGCGAUGAUUUUGAUGAGAGCCUGGGUAAAGCUUUGGAGGAAUCUAUUAGUAAUAUGCACAGACUGGACAGUCUAGAUGUAUAUGUCUCUGAUGGACUCAUCAAUUGCCUGAGCGAAGAUUGGGUGCCUCCUCCACAACUCCGUAGAUUGGCUUUCCGGUCAACUCAAAGUUGGUUCGGGACAUUGCCGUCAUGGAUUAAUCCUUCAUCGCUUCCUCUCCUCUCCUAUCUGGAUAUAACGUUGUUUGAAGUGCGAUCGGAGGUCAUCCAGCUUCUUGGGACUCUGCCUGCUCUUGUUUGUCUUCAGAUACUGGAUUGUUCUGUGUACAGAAAAGGGCAUGAGGUGGAAGCGCCGGUCCUUUCCUCUGGUGCGUUAUUCCCAUGUGCGACGGAGUGCCGCUUCUAUAGUAUUGGUGCCAUGCCAUCAAUGUUUCCACGAGGAGCAGCGCCAAGGCUUAAACACCUUGAGUUCACCUUACCAUCCAAGUGGAUCUCCCGUGAAAACUUUGAUUUGGGCAUGCGGCAUCUCCCUUCCCUCGAGCGAGUCAGGGUUCGUUUUAUCGAGGAGGGAGCUAGCCGUCAGGAGGUGGAUGAUGAAGCAAUGGCUGCGCUAAGGGCCGCAGCGGAGGACCACCCCAACCAUCCCGCCCUUUACAUCUGGUGA